CUACACUUCUCGUCCCCUCCUUCCCCCUCGAACCCACAGUCGCUCCUGCCCCAUGAUCCCUUUCUCAAGAAAUCGCACUGCCACUCAGCUCCGCGGCCAGCCGGGAAAGCUGGGCGCUCCCUCACCGCACAGCCCCGUUUCCCUUGGCCACCAAGUCAACCUGUCCUGUCCUGCACACUUGAGCCUCAUCCAGCUAGCCCUGCACAGCCUGCCAAGACCUCAGGUGCCUGAAAUGCCCCUUAUUUCGGUAGUUUCUGGGGACAUGGCUGACCUAUUAGCUAGCUCGCUCUGGAGCAGAACCCAGCUUCUCUGACUUUUCCUACUGGCAUCGAGUUUUCCUGGGCAGAAAGGAAGAAAUGUGACAUAAAAAAUACAGGUUGUGUAGACCUCAUUGUCCUCGGGAUUAAAGUCCAGAUGCCAAUCAUAAUUUGCAAGUCUCUUCAAGAUCUGGCGGCUGCUAAAUGAGGAGAUGUCGGUCAGAGGGUACACUUGUGUUUAUGAAACCGCACUAAGCUCUGUUUGGGUGACAUCUGGGAACCAGGUGCCGUGCCCUUCGAACCCCCGCUCUUCUGGCACAGUCGGGCCCGGCCCUGCCUGCGCACAGGAAAUGCCCUUUUAUAUGGAUGAAGUGCAGGGGUCCAGCCUGUCCCCUAGUCACACCAGAGACAGAGAGAGGGAGAAAGAAAAUGAGGACAUUGUCUGGAUGCUCGGAUGGUUCUGGAAAAGUCAGCUCGAGCAGAGGGAGACGUGUUUGGCACUCCGCUGGGCACAGGGACUACGAAUAUGAGUACAAAUGCUACCAUCUGUGCUGAUAUGAUCUAUGCUUGCCCAUGCAUCGAUCACCUGGGGACGGCAAGAGCAGAACGUUGUAACGGGUUGCCUGUGAGUGGUUUGGCUACAGCAGUGGGAGAGAGACUAAGCGGUCACCUUGUGAAUUUGCUAUCAGAGGCACCUAUGACCUAUGCAGACAAUAAAUGAGGGACACCUGGCCGGCUCA
Molecule: long non-coding RNA, 997 nt
Filed under: Ursus maritimus (polar bear)
Lineage: Eukaryota; Metazoa; Chordata; Mammalia; Carnivora; Ursidae
Description: lncRNA (ENSUMAG00000002120.1)
Source: RNAcentral